RNAcentral lists this unclassified non-coding RNA (348 nucleotides) under soil metagenome. RNAcentral's name for it is "partial contains 5.8S ribosomal RNA, internal transcribed spacer 2, and large subunit ribosomal RNA". The stretch from base 1 to 120 matches the Rfam family "5.8S ribosomal RNA", at positions 35 to 154 of the family's 154-position model. The record is from RNAcentral.
GAUGAAGAACGUAGCGAAAUGCGAUAAGUAAUGUGAAUUGCAGAAUUCAGUGAAUCAUCGAAUCUUUGAACGCACAUUGCGCCCGCUGGUAUUCCGGCGGGCAUGCCUGUUCGAGCAUCAUUUCAACCCUCAAGCCCCCGGGUUUGGUGUUGGGGAUCGGCUCUGCCCUUCUGGGCGGUGCCGCCCCCGAAAUACAUUGGCGGUCUCGCUGCAGCCUCCAUUGCGUAGUAGCUAACACCUCGCAACUGGAACGCGGCGCGGCCAUGCCGUAAAACCCCAACUUCUGAAUGUUGACCUCGGAUCAGGUAGGAAUACCCGCUGAACUUAAGCAUAUCAAUAAGCGGAGGA